GCAGCCGCGGUAAUUCCAGCUCCAAUAGCGUAUAUUAAAGUUGUUGCAGUUAAAAAGCUCGUAGUUGAAUUUCGGGGUCAGUAGAUUGGUCGUGCCACUGGUAUGUACUGGUCUUACUGGCUCCUCCUUCCUGAUGAACCGUAAUGCCAUUGAUUUGGUGUUGCGGGGAGACUGGACUGUUACUUUGAAAAAAUUAGAGUGUUUAAAGCAGGCUAACGCUUGAAUACAUUAGCAUGGAAUAAUGAAAUAGGACGUUCGAUCUUAUUUUGUUGGUUUCUAGGAUUGACGUAAUGAUUAAUAGGGAUAGUUGGGGGCAUUAGUAUUCAAUUGUCAGAGGUGAAAUUCUUGGAUUUAU
This 355-nucleotide ribosomal RNA is filed under the name uncultured Glomeraceae. RNAcentral's name for it is "SSU rRNA". It matches the Rfam family "Eukaryotic small subunit ribosomal RNA", at positions 570 to 929 of the family's 1831-position model. Lineage: Eukaryota; Fungi; Glomeromycota; Glomeromycetes; Glomerales; Glomeraceae. The record is from RNAcentral.